This 372-nucleotide ribosomal RNA is filed under the name uncultured bacterium. RNAcentral describes it as "bacterial SSU rRNA". It matches the Rfam family "Bacterial small subunit ribosomal RNA", at positions 524 to 898 of the family's 1533-position model. The record is from RNAcentral.
UACGGAGGGUCCAAGCGUUAUCCGGAUUUAUUGGGUUUAAAGGGUGCGCAAGCGGUUCGUUAAGUUAGAGGUGAAAUCCCGUGGCUCAACCACGGAACUGCCUCUGAUACUGGCGGGCUAGAGAGAGGUUGCUGUGGGCGGAAUGUGUGGUGUAGCGGUGAAAUGCUUAGAGAUCACACAGAACACCGAUUGCGAAGGCAGCUCACAAAGCCUCAUCUGACGCUCAUGCACGAAAGCGUGGGGAGCAAACAGGAUUAGAUACCCUGGUAGUCCACGCCGUAAACGAUGAUAACUCGAUGCCGGCGAUACACUGUCGGUGUCCAAGCGAAAGCGAUAAGUUAUCCACCUGGGGAGUACGUUCGCAAGAAUGAA